RNAcentral lists this transfer RNA (73 nucleotides) under Candidatus Microgenomates bacterium. Its description in RNAcentral is "tRNA-Val". It matches the Rfam family "tRNA". From Rfam's summary of the family: Transfer RNA (tRNA) molecules are approximately 80 nucleotides in length. The record is from RNAcentral. Lineage: Bacteria; Candidatus Microgenomatota. RNAcentral also lists the same sequence under 1 other name.
GGCUGGUUAGCUCAGUUGGUAGAGCACCGCAUUCACAUUGCGGUUGUCACAGGUUCGAGCCCUGUACCAGCCA